Molecule: ribosomal RNA, 301 nt
Filed under: uncultured bacterium
Lineage: Bacteria
Description: partial 16S ribosomal RNA
Rfam family: Bacterial small subunit ribosomal RNA
Source: RNAcentral
CAGCCGCCGCGGUAAAACGAAGGGGGCUAGCGUUGCUCGGAAUGACUGGGCGUAAAGGGCGAGUAGGCGGAUUGCGCAGUCAGAUGUGAAAUUCCUGGGCUUAACCUGGGGGCUGCACUUGAGACGCGUAGUCUAGAGUGUGAAAGAGGGUCGUGGAAUUCCCAGUGUAGCGGUGAAAUGCGUAGAUAUAGGAAGGAACACCAGUGGCGAAGGCGACCACCUGGACUAAUACUGACACUGAGGUGCGAAAGCGUGGGGAGCAAACAGGAUUAGAUACCCCCGUAGUCCCUGUCUCUUAUAC